GACGAACGCUGGCGGCGUGCUUAACACAUGCAAGUCGAACGGAAAUGCCCUGCUUUUGUUGGGUGCUCGAGUGGCGAACGGGUGAGUAACACGAGAGUAACCUGCCCUAGCUUUUGGGAUAACUUCAAGAAACAUGGUAUAAUAUCAGAUAGUAACACUUGCUCCUUGUUGAGUUUUGAAAAGUUUCGGCGCUUGGGGAUGGACUCGCGGCUUAUCAGCUUGUUGGUGGGGUAGUGGCUUACCAAGGCUUUGACGGGUAGCCGGCCUGAGAGGGUGACCGGCCACAUUGGGACUGAGAUCCGGCCCAUCAUCCUACGGGAGGCAGCAGUGGGGAAUAUUGCGAAAAGGGAGGAAGACUGAUGCAGAAACGCCGCGUGCGGGAUGACGGCCUUCGGGUUGUAAACCGCGUUCGCCUUUGACGAAGCGGGAGUGACGGUAAUAGGUAAAGAAGCACCGGCUAACUACGUG
Molecule: ribosomal RNA, 468 nt
Filed under: uncultured bacterium
Lineage: Bacteria
Description: partial 16S ribosomal RNA
Rfam family: Bacterial small subunit ribosomal RNA
Source: RNAcentral